This 460-nucleotide ribosomal RNA is filed under the name uncultured bacterium. RNAcentral's name for it is "partial 16S ribosomal RNA". It matches the Rfam family "Bacterial small subunit ribosomal RNA", at positions 338 to 795 of the family's 1533-position model. The record is from RNAcentral.
CCUACGGGCGGCAGCAGUGAGGAAUAUUGGUCAAUGGACGAGAGUCUGAACCAGCCAAGUCGCGUGAAGGAUGACUGCCCUCUGGGUUGUAAACUUCUUUUAUAUGGGAAUAAAACAGGGUAUGCAUACCCUCUUGUAUGUACCAUAUGAAUAAGGAUCGGCUAACUCCGUGCCAGCAGCCGCGGUAAUACGGAGGAUCCGAGCGUUAUCCGGAUUUAUUGGGUUUAAAGGGAGCGUAGGUGGAUUGUUAAGUCAGUUGUGAAAGUGUGCGGCUCAACCGUAAAAUUGCAGUUGAAACUGGCAGGCUUGAGUAUGGUAGAGGUGGGCGGAAUUCGUGGUGUAGCGGUGAAAGGCUUAGAGAUCACGAAGAACUCCGAUUGCGAAGGCAGCUCACUGGACUGCAACUGACACUGAUGCUCGAAAGUGUGGGUAUCAAACAGGAUUAGAGACCCGAGUAGUC